UUUCAUACAUUUUCUUUGUUAUAAUAUUAUCAUUAUAAUGUUUUAUAAAUAUUAAAAUAAUACUUGUGGAUUAUGUUCCAGAGCUUCUGAAGUCGUAUGAUAUAUUUGUGUGAGGACAGACCCAAAUUUAUGUUGUUGUUCAUUGAAAAUCUUCCCCUCCGCUUUAGAAAUGAAUAAUAAUAAAAGCAUAUGACUAUAGAGGGUGAGUAAAUAAUGACAUUUUUCAUUUUGGCCGGACUAUUCCUUUACCUGUAGAUGUUUUAUGAUUUUUCAAUGCGUUUCAGUUUGGUUUUGUCAUCUACUAACAUGUGCAUCCAGCCUCUGGGAUCAGGUGCAUAUUCUUAAAGCGUUUCAGAGUCAUCGAGUAGCUAACGUAACCUCUCUGAAAUGCUUUAUGAAUAUAGGACAAUGUGAUUGAUAUCAGUCUUGCACUUUAUUAGCAUGUCCGUCUGAUAGAUAGCUGUUUGAAAACAUGGACACCAGGAAAUGCUUUUAAUUUUCAGAAACAUCAGAAAGGUAUCAGGCUGUUUUGCAUGGGCAGUGAGGACAUUGCCUUAUUUGUGUGUGUGAUCAGGACGAGGUUAUAGGGAAUAUCUGGUCUCCCAAACCUUUAAUGAUCGCAAAAAAAAUUGCAUAUGAUCUGAUCUGAUGAUGAGGGAAAAACAGAUGCAUCUGUAAUGACCAAUAUGUUUGAAAGGAAUAGUUCACCUUAUAUGAAAAAAAGCCAUUCAUGUCAUUUUUUAAAAAAGAUUUAUUCAGAACUAAAUUUCGUUUUGAUUUUUUUUAACUUCCUGGAUUGAGUCCAUGCAGCUCAUUUAUAAAGCAUCAGAUCUCCAGAUGAGACCAGAUAACCCCUUUAGUCUGUGUAAUUAUAAGAAAGCUUGAAUUCUGCGCUAAUAGGACCGAUUUUAAUCAUGCAAAGGUAAAUGUUUUCUCAUGUUGACUUAAAUGUAUUUCACUUGGAUGUAUGGGACCACAGAGAUGUGAAGUAAAUGGGUAAAGCUCAUGUAAAGAGCGUGUCUGGGUCAAAUCUUAACCCCAAAAUCAAGAGAAAAACAACAACAUAAUAGCAUUUUUUUCUACUUGUAUGCUAAAUUAAAUACAAAUCAUUGUAUUGCAGUAAAUAUCGGAAAUUGAAUUGGAAUUAUUGGAAUUAAAAAUAGCACCUACACUAAAAAAAUUUGGUGUAAAAACAAUUUCCACUCUCUUCACCGAACCGGUGAAGUAGAAAGAUUAUCAAUACUCUGGUAAUUGAUGUUUUAUUUACAUCUUUCAAAAAAAUACAAAUUUCCACUGUAUUGAUACUUCAACAUUUCACAUUUACUUCAAUGUGUUAUUUUCAUCAUUUUUUGCAAAUAUGUGCAAUUUACUUGCGAAAUCUGAGUGGAAAUAAUUUCUACACCAACUUUUUGUAGUAUAAAAAUCAACGAAACAAUAUUUAUUGCUACACGCUGAUUUGUAUUUAAAAUUUUACUACUGAUGUAUAAAAUAAAUGUAAAAAUACACAAGUCAACGUCACAAUGCAAGACUCAAAAUAUAAUUAAUUAUUUGAAUUUCUUUCGUUUUUGGAGUGAAAUUUGACCUGAGCAUGUAUCUUUUUUUUGAGACUCAGCCAUAUGAAUUCUAAACAUAGACUAUAUUAGAUUCAGUAUGCCAAUUAUGUGUACCAAAAUCAUGUUUGAUAACUUUAUGGAUAAGUUAUCAUGCCAAUUUAUCCACAACAUGCAGUAUGAGUUUCGUUUGAAAAGGACAGCUACGAGGAGAUUACAAAUGAUCUAUAUGUGUGUGUAUGUAUGAUUAUGGUUGAUGAUUUUUCUGGUUUAUACUCAAAGCAAUGCAUCAGAUAUGUUUGCCGUUGCCAAUAACCAAUAGUCUCGUCUUGGCGACUUCAUAGUGAUGGUACUGUUCACAUGCGGUCAAUGCAAAUAUACACUAAUACCCACUAAUUGUCUUAACAGUCGCUGUCAGACCUCACUGAAAGCGUGUACUAGGCUGGCAUCCUUUACUCGUUACCAAAACGUGACAAAAAGCUGGAAUCGACAAGGCGAGUCGUUUUGGAAAUGCGCUGUUUUGUGUUUGUGCGUAAUGUAAAUCGAAUCAAAUUACGCUUAUUCGGGUCACUAUUCCACUAACCUGUGAUGGAUGAUGUCAUAUCCAGCUUUGCAUGUGAUUGGCCAGAGGUUUCCAGAGGAAC
Sinocyclocheilus grahami is the source of this 2194-nucleotide long non-coding RNA. RefSeq lists it as uncharacterized. The record is from RefSeq and is a predicted model, not a curated record. The transcript is spliced from 2 exons. NCBI's taxonomy places the organism in Eukaryota, Metazoa, Chordata, Actinopteri, Cypriniformes, Cyprinidae.